RNAcentral lists this small nuclear RNA (21 nucleotides) under Arabidopsis thaliana (thale cress). RNAcentral's name for it is "snRNA_14783". The record is from RNAcentral. Lineage: Eukaryota; Viridiplantae; Streptophyta; Magnoliopsida; Brassicales; Brassicaceae.
CGGACGCUCUUGAUACUUGCG